AGUGAACGCUGGCGGUAGGCCUAACACAUGCAAGUCGAACGGCAGCACAGGAGAGCUUGCUCUCUGGGUGGCGAGUGGCGGACGGGUGAGGAAUACAUCGGAAUCUACUCUGUCGUGGGGGAUAACGUAGGGAAACUUACGCUAAUACCGCAUACGACCUACGGGUGAAAGCAGGGGAUCUUCGGACCUUGCGCGAUUGAAUGAGCCGAUGUCGGAGUAGCUAGGUGGCGGGGUAAAGGCCCACCAAGGCGUCGAUCCGUAGCUGGUCUGAGAGGAUGAUCAGCCACACUGGAACUGAGACACGGUCCAGACUCCUACGGGAGGCAGCAGUGGGGAAUAUUGGACAAUGGGCGCAAGCCUGAUCCAGCCAUACCGCGUGGGUGAAGAAGGCCUUCGGGUUGUAAAGCCCUUUUGUUGGGAAAGAAAUCCAGCUGGCUAAUACCCGGUUGGGAUGACGGUACCCAAAGAAUAAGCACCGGCUAACUUCGUGCCAGCAGCCGCCGUAA
RNAcentral lists this ribosomal RNA (506 nucleotides) under uncultured bacterium. RNAcentral describes it as "partial 16S ribosomal RNA". It matches the Rfam family "Bacterial small subunit ribosomal RNA", at positions 29 to 523 of the family's 1533-position model. The record is from RNAcentral.